CAGUAGCCGCGGUAAAACGAGGGGGGCAAGCGUUGUUCGGAAUUAUUGGGCGUAAAGGGUGCGUAGGCGGUUCAGCAAGUCUCGUGUGAAAUCUUCGGGCUCAACCCGAAGUCUGCACGGGAAACUACUGGGCUUGAGUAAUGGAGAGGUGAGUGGAAUUUCCGGUGUAGCGGUGAAAUGCGUAGAUAUCGGAAGGAACACCUGUGGCGAAAGCGGCUCACUGGACAUUUACUGACGCUGAUGCACGAAAGCUAGGGAAGCAAACAGGAUUAGAUACCCCCGUAGUCCCUGUCUCUUAUAC
RNAcentral lists this ribosomal RNA (301 nucleotides) under uncultured bacterium. RNAcentral describes it as "partial 16S ribosomal RNA". It matches the Rfam family "Bacterial small subunit ribosomal RNA", at positions 509 to 807 of the family's 1533-position model. The record is from RNAcentral.